This 431-nucleotide ribosomal RNA is filed under the name uncultured bacterium. RNAcentral describes it as "partial 16S ribosomal RNA". It matches the Rfam family "Bacterial small subunit ribosomal RNA", at positions 29 to 506 of the family's 1533-position model. The record is from RNAcentral.
AACGAACGCUGGCGGCAUGCCUAACACAUGCAAGUCGAACGAGACCUUCGGGUCUAGUGGCGCACGGGUGCGUAACGCGUGGGAACCUGCCCUUAGGUUCGGAAUAACUCCCGGAAAGGGUUGUAAAACCGGGUUAAUUCCUCGGAACAAAGAUUUAUUGCCUUUUGGUGGGCCCGCGUUUGAUUAGGUUGUUGGUAGGGUAAAAGCCUACCAAGGCGACGAUCCAUAGCUGGUCUGAGAGGAUGAUCAGCCACACUGGGACUGAGACACGGCCCAGACUCCUACGGGAGGCAGCAGUGGGGAAUAUUGGACAAUGGGCGAAAGCCUGAUCCAGCAAUGCCGCGUGAGUGAUGAAGGCCUUAGGGUUGUAAAGCUCUUUUACCCGGGAUGAUAAUGACAGUACCGGGAGAAUAAGCUCCGGCUAACUCCGU